CCGGACUGACUGCUAUCGGAUUGGUACUAAGCCAUGCGAGUCAUUGUAGCAAUACAAGGCGGACGGCUCAGUAACACGUAGUCAACCUAACUCGUGGACGUGGAUAACCUCGGGAAACUGAGAAUAAACCACGAUAGAUCAUAGUGCCUGGAAUGGCUUAUGGUCCAAACAGUUUACUGCCAUGGGAUGGGACUGCGGCCUAUCAGCUUGUUGGCGAGGUAAUGGCCCACCAAGGCGAUUACAGGUACGGGCUCUGAGAGGAGAAGCCCGGAGAUGGGUACUGAGACACGGACCCAGGCCCUAUGGGGCGCAGCAGGCGAGAAACCUUAGCAAUGUGCGAAAGCACGACUGGGUCAGUCCGAGUGAUUCCUGAUAAAGGAGUCUUUUGCCUGUCCUAAAAGCACAGGUGAAUAAGGGGUGGGCAAGUCUGGUGUCAGCCGCCGCGGUAAUACCAGCACCUCGAGUGGUCAGGACGUUUAUUGGGCCUAAAGCAUCCGUAGCCGGCUCUGCAAGUCUUCGGUUAAAUCCACCUGCUCAACAGAUGGGCCGCUGGAGAUACUACAGAGCUAGGGAGUGGGAGAGGCAGACGGUAUUCAGUGGGUAGGGGUAAAAUCCUCUGAUCCAUUGAGGACCACCAGUGGCGAAGGCGGUCUGCCAGAACACGUUCGACGGUGAGGGAUGAAAGCUGGGGGAGCAAACCGGAUUAGAUACCCGGGUAGUCCCAGCUGUAAACGAUGCAAACUCGGUGAUGCAUUGGCUUAUGGCCAAUGCAGUGCCGCAGGGAAGCCGUUAAGUUUGCCGCCUGGGAAGUACGGACGCAAGUCUGAAACUUAAAGGAAUUGGCGGGGGAGCACCACAAGGGGUGAAGCCUGCGGUUCAAUUGGAUUCAACGCCGG
This 896-nucleotide ribosomal RNA is filed under the name uncultured archaeon. RNAcentral's name for it is "bacterial SSU rRNA". It matches the Rfam family "Archaeal small subunit ribosomal RNA", at positions 17 to 921 of the family's 1478-position model. The record is from RNAcentral.